UCAACUUUUGACCUCGGAUCAGGUAGGGAUACCCGCUGAACUUAAGCAUAUCAAUAAGCGGAGGAAAAGAAACCAACAGGGAUUGCCCUAGUAACGGCGAGUGAAGCGGCAACACGCUCAAUUUGAAAUCUGGCUCUUUUAGAGUCCGAGUUGUAAUUUGCAGAGGGCGCUUUGGCUUUGGCAGCGGUCCAAGUUCCUUGGAACAGGACGUCACAGAGGGUGAGAAUCCCGUACGUGGUCGCUGGCUAUUGCCGUGUAAAGCCCCUUCGACGAGUCGAGUUGUUUGGGAAUGCAGCUCUAAAUGGGAGGUACAUUUCUUCUAAAGCUAAAUAUUGGCCAGAGACCGAUAGCGCACAAGUAGAGUGAUCGAAAGAUGAAAAGCACUUUGGAAAGAGAGUCAAACAGCACGUGAAAUUGUUGAAAGGGAAGCGCUUGCAGCCAGACUUGCUUACAGUUGCUCAUCCGGGUUUUUACCCGGUGCACUCUUCUGUAGGCAGGCCAGCAUCAGUUUGGGCGGUAGGAUAAAGGUCUCUGUCACGUACCUCCUUUCGGGGAGGCCUUAUAGGGGAGACGACAUACUACCAGCCUGGACUGAGGUCCGCGCAUCUGCUAGGAUGCUGGCGUAAUGGCUGUAAGCGGCCCGUCUUGAAACACGGACCAAGGAGUCUAACAUCUAUGCGAGUGUUUGGGUGUCAAGCCCGAGCGCGUAAUGAAAGUGAACGGAGGUGGGAACCCGCAAGGGUGCACCAUCGACCGAUCCUGAUGUCUUCGGAAGGAUUUGAGUAAGAGCAUGGCUGUUGGGACCCGAAAGAUGGUGAACUAUGCUUGAAUAGGGUGAAGCCAGAGGAAACUCUGGUGGAGGCUCGCAGCGGUUCUGACGUGCAAAUCGAUCGUCAAAUUUGGGCAUAGGGCGAAAGACUAAUCGAC
RNAcentral lists this ribosomal RNA (927 nucleotides) under Alternaria sp. Its description in RNAcentral is "LSU rRNA". It matches the Rfam family "Eukaryotic large subunit ribosomal RNA", at positions 1 to 940 of the family's 3401-position model. The record is from RNAcentral. Lineage: Eukaryota; Fungi; Ascomycota; Dothideomycetes; Pleosporales; Pleosporaceae.